AGCGAACGCUGGCGGCAGGCCUAACACAUGCAAGUCGAACGAACUCUUCGGAGUUAGUGGCGGACGGGUGAGUAACACGUGGGAACGUGCCUUUAGGUUCGGAAUAACUCAGGGAAACUUGUGCUAAUACCGAAUGUGCCCUUCGGGGGAAAGAUUUAUCGCCUUUAGAGCGGCCCGCGUCUGAUUAGCUUGUUGGUGAGGUAAAGGCUCACCAAGGCGACGAUCAGUAGCUGGUCUGAGAGGAUGAUCAGCCACAUUGGGACUGAGACACGGCCCAAACUCCUACGGGAGGCAGCAGUGGGGAAUCUUGCGCAAUGGGCGAAAGCCUGACGCAGCCAUGCCGCGUGAAUGAUGAAGGUCUUAGGAUUGUAAAAUUCUUUCACCGGGGACGAUAAUGACGGUACCCGGAGAAGAAGCCCCGGCUAACUUCGUG
RNAcentral lists this ribosomal RNA (433 nucleotides) under uncultured bacterium. RNAcentral's name for it is "partial 16S ribosomal RNA". It matches the Rfam family "Bacterial small subunit ribosomal RNA", at positions 29 to 507 of the family's 1533-position model. The record is from RNAcentral.